This 328-nucleotide ribosomal RNA is filed under the name uncultured eukaryote. Its description in RNAcentral is "partial 18S ribosomal RNA". It matches the Rfam family "Eukaryotic small subunit ribosomal RNA", at positions 1470 to 1796 of the family's 1831-position model. The record is from RNAcentral.
CCCUUCGAUGUUCUGGGCUGCACGCGCGCUACACUGAUAAAGUCAACGAGUUUACAACCUUUUCUGAAAGGAAUGGGUAAUCUUUUGAAACUUUAUCGUGAUGGGGAUAGAAGAUUGCAAUUAUUUUUCUUGAACGAGGAAUGCCUAGUAAUAGUGGUUCAUCAGACCGCUGUGAUUACGUCCCUGCCCUUUGUACACACCGCCCGUCGCUCCUACCGAUUGGGUGUGCUGGUGAAAUGUUCGGAUCGGCCGUUUGUCGCGGUUUCCGCGUCAUGUGGCUGAGAAGUUCAUUAAACCCUCCCACCUAGAGGAAGGAGAAGUCGUAACA